This 478-nucleotide ribosomal RNA is filed under the name uncultured bacterium. Its description in RNAcentral is "partial 16S ribosomal RNA". It matches the Rfam family "Bacterial small subunit ribosomal RNA", at positions 28 to 523 of the family's 1533-position model. The record is from RNAcentral.
GACGAACGCUGGCGGCGUGCUUAACACAUGCAAGUCGAACGGUAAGGCCCUUCGGGGUACACGAGUGGCGAACGGGUGAGUAACACGUGGGUGAUCUGCCCUGCACUUCGGGAUAAGCCUGGGAAACUGGGUCUAAUACCGGAUCGGACCCCUGCCUGCAUGGGUGGUGGUGGAAAGCUUUUGUGGUGUGGGAUGGGCGCGCGGCCUAUCAGCUUGUUGGUGGGGUGAUGGCCUACCAAGGCGACGACGGGUAGCCGGCCUGAGAGGGUGACCGGCCACACUGGGACUGAGAUACGGCCCAGACUCCUACGGGAGGCAGCAGUGGGGAAUAUUGCACAAUGGGCGCAAGCCUGAUGCAGCGACGCCGCGUGAGGGAUGACGGCCUUCGGGUUGUAAACCUCUUUCAGCACCGACGAAGCGCAAGUGACGGUAGGUGCAGAAGAAGGACCGGCCAACUACGUGCCAGCCGCCGCGGUAA